Long non-coding RNA from Xenopus tropicalis (tropical clawed frog), 321 nucleotides. RefSeq lists it as uncharacterized. The record is from RefSeq and is a predicted model, not a curated record. NCBI's taxonomy places the organism in Eukaryota, Metazoa, Chordata, Amphibia, Anura, Pipidae. The transcript has 2 exons.
GUCUCAAACUCCUUGUGCACUGUCAGUAUAUAGGCUAAUGGAAAGGCAGCCUCUUCUUCUGAGAGAGUUACAGUUAUAUCUAUUUCUGUACUCACCCAAAGGAAUGCUUUCUCCUGGGGAAAAAUCACAGUCUCCUCCUGUAUUACAGUUUGUUCGGAAUAAUGAUAUUACAAAGCAAAUCAAAGAAGACUUCCCAACACAGACAUGGAGAAAAUGAAUCCAUUUUGCUGAUAUUUAGGUGUCUUCAUGGAUCUUGUGAUAGAGAUUUUAUAUAUCCUUUAACUUGUUUCAAGUGUUGAGCAAAUAAAAUGAGAAAUAUUU